Molecule: ribosomal RNA, 403 nt
Filed under: uncultured Sedimentibacter sp.
Lineage: Bacteria; Bacillati; Bacillota; Tissierellia
Description: bacterial SSU rRNA
Rfam family: Bacterial small subunit ribosomal RNA
Source: RNAcentral
GGGGAAUAUUGCACAAUGGAGGAAACUCUGAUGCAGCGACGCCGCGUGAGUGAAGAAGGUCUUCGGAUCGUAAAACUCUGUCCUUGGUGACGAAAAAAAUGACGGUAGCCAAGGAGGAAGCCCCGGCUAACUACGUGCCAGCAGCCGCGGUAAUACGUAGGGGGCGAGCGUUGUCCGGAUUUACUGGGCGUAAAGGGUGAGUAGGCGGUAAUAUGUGUCAGAUGUAAAAGGCUAUGGCUUAACCAUAGUAAGCAUUUGAAACUGCAGGGCUUGAGUGCAGGAGAGGAGAGUGGAAUUCCUAGUGUAGCGGUGAAAUGCGUAGAUAUUAGGAGGAACACCAGUGGCGAAGGCGACUCUCUGGACUGUAACUGACGCUGAGGCACGAAAGCGUGGGGAGCAAACA